This is a long non-coding RNA of Heterocephalus glaber (naked mole-rat), 2198 nucleotides long. Lineage: Eukaryota; Metazoa; Chordata; Mammalia; Rodentia; Bathyergidae. The record is from Ensembl.
CUGGGUGGCAGUGACAUGAGUAAUCAGGUGUUGCUAACCUGGCUGCCCUUUUGCUCUGCUCAUGAAUGCUUUCUGCUGCACUGGAAGCUCUUCGUUUGUUGAUCUCUCACUGCUGGGUCUUCUUUUUCCUCAACCCAACUGCUUUAUUUUUACUCAUGACAUGGAAAAGUUCCUCCUGUAUCUUUCUUGCAGCUCACCUUUUGGAAACAGAUUGACAUGGAUUGGUGGCCUUUGCUUCCUGUUCCUGAAGAGUGACUUAUGCUUGUGCUAAGAAUGAGGUGCCAAGGACAGCAACCGAAUGGCUUCAGAAUCAGGCUCCCACUCUUUUGGCCAUGGCAACAGGAGAGAAGGAUUCACAGGAACGAUCUGAACCUCAGAUAGCCUUUGGAGGAUUAUAAAAUGAAGAGGAUGAGGAGGAAGACAACUGAGGAGAGGGGGAGGAGGAAUAUUGACAAGACUGGGGCAGGUCUAAGAAAAUGAGGACAUCAAUGCAUUCAUGGACGGCAGACCAUAAUACAGAACUUGUUUUCAACUCAGGGCAGUCAAUAUUGAGCUCGGAGUACCUGGUUUUACAGGUUGGGUUGUAGAUGGUCCUCGUUCUCCAGCCAAUUAUAUCCAGAUACAGAAAUCACUCCACUCUCCCAUGGUGAAGAGUUUUGGAGAGUCCUGUCUUUCCCUACUUGCCUUUUCCCGUGCAGCUACCCUUCCUCUGUUAUGUCCAAAAGGUAUGAACUGAAUGUAGUUUCAUCAUUUUGUUUCAAGAUCCAUACCUGCUUGCUGUCACCUUAAAACUCAAUUUGGGGCUGGGGUCUUUCAGCCACUGACAAAGAAAUACCAUCACAGGUGCCUGUGGGGGUAAAAUUCUACCCACUUGAAUCCUGCUGGUUCCAGAAAAAUGUUCUGCUAUGGUUUGAAUGCACCUCCGGAAAGGUUAUGUAUUGGAAAUUCAAUCCCCAAAUUCAUAUAUUCAUGGUGUUUGGAGGUGGGGCCUUUUGGAGACACUGUAAUUAGGAUUAGAUGGGGUGAUACAGGUGGGGCUCCCAUGAUGGCCUUACUGACUUUAUGAGAAGAGGAAGAAAAACUUGAGCUGGCAUUCUUGCUCUGUCUUUCCAUGAGAUGCCCUCCACCAUGUUAUAUGCAGCACGUUAUGUAUCAUCAGAUGCUGGCACUAUCUCGAACUUAACAGCUUCCAGAACUGUGAGCUAAAUAAACUUACUAAUUAUCUGGUAUCAAGUAUUUUGCCAUAGCAACAGAAAAUAAACUAAGAUGGCAUCUGAACAGAUUCAUAUGAGAUUAGGAUAUCUUUCCUUAUUGCUCCCCAGGUCAAAAUUCAAGAAAAUCCAGCAGUGGUAAGAAAUGGGGCUUUAUUCUGGCUGUAGUCUAGUGUGUAUAUCAGGACAAGUUCUGGUGUGUCUGUCAACUCACAGAUCCUUUUGGACCACAGCUCACUGCUUUUUCUACUACCCCAGCUUUUUAUACUGCCAGGAUGAUUGUAUUUAUGGAUGUAAUGAUGCAUUCUUGCCUCAGUAACCGGGCAAAGGCCAACCCCAGUGCAUCCUGAUAGACCAAUUCCUUUGGUGUCUGGGAAGAAAAGUUUCAAAUGCUUUUCCUUCAAAAGAUGCCAGUGCUCCAGAUAUAAAUAUAUUCAUUCUAUUUGCUAAACCUUCAGGCUUCAGCAAGAGUUCUUGCAAAACAAAUAAUAAAUAUUUAAAAGUAACAUUCUAGAGUGAGAUCUUUACUUGCAUCUUCUCAUUGAGUUGCCACAGAACUGUAAGAAAUGCAUUUGCUCCACUUUCUUUAUUUUACAAAAAAGGCAAAUGAAAUCCAGAGAGGUCUGGGAGAGAAGUCACUCUCCCAAAGCCAGAUUCUUAGUAAGUGACGAAGUCUAGGGUGAAAUUUAGAUGGUGAUGGCCCUAUUUCUGUCCACUUGAAGCUGUCUCACACGUCCAUUCAGGGCUAUACUUCUGUUCCUUUUUUCCUUGUUCCUGCAGGGUUCUCAGUUCAUUAAAAGUUAAAUAAAAUCUCUAGGUCAUGUCCAGGAUUUCAACUCCAAGUGGAGGGAAAGUCUUUUUUAUUUUUAUAAAAAGUUAUGAAACAGUACACACAAAAGGAUAUAUGUACUUUAAUGAAGCAUAAUAGUUGUAUUAAUCAGGGUCUUCUAAAGAAAUAAAACCAAUAGUACAGACAGACACACACAC